AACCAGAAGGGAUAAGAUAAAGGAACUCUUCAGACAAGGAAGCCUGGGAAAGACCCUACUCUAGCAGGGAACAGACAAAGAACCCAAGGACUGUAGUCCUAAGCUUCAGAAGAAUUCUGCUGGUGACCUGAGGCAUAGUCCUGGAGCGUACAGCAACAAUGUUGGACUGCCUCUGAAUUCCACAAGUGUGGGGUAUUAAUCUAUUAGAGCUUCAGAAUAAUAGUCUCAUUUCAUAGAGCUGAACAUUUCCUGCUGUUAGUCUACUCCAAGUUUACUCUACCAAGAGCUGGAUGUGAAGGCUCCCAGGUAAGCCACAAUUCCUGAAGAAAUGAGGAUAUCUCCAGUCAAAUUGAUGUACUGCCUCCCCAGCUCCAGAGCAGUCAGGUUCCAGCGAGUUUUCUCACCACCAAGGCCUCCAAUCAAUUGUUCUGCUCUCUGUAGCUUUUUGCUGCA
Molecule: long non-coding RNA, 453 nt
Organism: Mauremys mutica (yellowpond turtle)
Lineage: Eukaryota; Metazoa; Chordata; Testudines; Geoemydidae
Exons: 3
Source: RefSeq, a predicted model, not a curated record